RNAcentral lists this ribosomal RNA (253 nucleotides) under uncultured bacterium. Its description in RNAcentral is "partial 16S ribosomal RNA". It matches the Rfam family "Bacterial small subunit ribosomal RNA", at positions 524 to 776 of the family's 1533-position model. The record is from RNAcentral.
UACGAAGGUGGCAAGCGUUGUUCGGAUUUACUGGGCGUACAGGGAGCGUAGGCGGUUGGAUAAGCCCUCCGUGAAAUCUCCAGGCUUAACCUGGAAAGUGCAGAGGGGACUGUUCAGCUAGAGGAUGGGAGAGGAGCGCGGAAUUCCCGGUGUAGCGGUGAAAUGCGUAGAGAUCGGGAGGAAGGCCGGUGGCGAAGGCGGCCUGCUGGGCAGUUGCUGACACUGAGGCGCGACAGCGUGGGGAGCAAACAGG